RNAcentral lists this small RNA (651 nucleotides) under Pongo abelii (Sumatran orangutan). RNAcentral's name for it is "retained intron". The record is from RNAcentral. Lineage: Eukaryota; Metazoa; Chordata; Mammalia; Primates; Hominidae.
GGCCGGGCGCGGUGGCUCACGCCUGUAAUCCCAGCACUUUGAGAGGCCAAGGUGGGCAGAUCACAAGGUCAGGAGAUCGAGACCAUCCUGGCCAACAUGGUGAAACCCUGUCUCUACUAAAAAUACAAAAAUUAGCUGGAUGUGGUGGCACGUGCCUGUAAUCCCAGCUACUGAGGAGGCUGAGGCAUGAGAAUCACUUGAACCCAGGAGGCGUAGGUUGCAGUGAGCCGAGAUCACACCACUGCACUCCAGCCUGGUGACAGAGCGAGACUCCAUCUCAAUAAAUAACCUUUCACUUUAACAAAAUGAGAAAUGUUACACCAAAAUCAAGUCUAACUUUGUCAGCAUAAUUCUUGCUCUUUAAUUUUCAUCUUAAUGUUUUAAGCCACAGACUGUUAUGUUCUGUUUUCUUAAAUGAUGGUUGUAGAGGAAAAGAGUAAUGCAUAUAAAUUUCCAAAUCUACUAUCUUAGGUGGUCGUCGGUUUUCUGAGGGUACUUCAGCUGACAGAGAGAUUCAGAGAACAUUAAUGGAGUUACUGAAUCAAAUGGAUGGAUUUGAUACUCUGCACAGAGUUAAAAUGAUCAUGGCUACAAACAGACCAGAUACACUGGAUCCUGCUUUGCUGCGUCCAGGAAGAUUAGAUAGAAAAA